Anguilla anguilla (European eel) is the source of this 1612-nucleotide long non-coding RNA. RefSeq lists it as uncharacterized. The record is from RefSeq and is a predicted model, not a curated record. The transcript has 3 exons. Lineage: Eukaryota; Metazoa; Chordata; Actinopteri; Anguilliformes; Anguillidae.
AUCAACCACUUUAAAUCUAAAACUUUAGUCAGGGACAGGUCUUCCGUUUUUUCCAAUUAAAUCACAGUUAAUUUCAAUAUUUCGCAUAAUUAAAUAAAAAUAAAGAACAGAAGAGCGGAUUGUCGAAGAGACCCUCAAGGACUAAAGCUCCAAUCAAUUCCGGAGAUAGGAUGACAGACAGCGGGCCUGACGCGGGGAGAUUUUUCAAAGCCACGCGCAGGUUCGUACGCUUCAGAGUGGAACUGUUCUGCACGAGCCUCCUGGAAACAAGCGGAAAUAAAGUGCGCUUUUAAAACAGCGGAAAUGCACGCGGCGAAAACCGACAGUUUGCAAAACGGCUCCCCGCGAGACACAUUUUCUGACGGCAGGACUCGUUUCUGCUUCCGUGGACGCCGGAGAGCGCGAGAUGCAUCCGGAGCCACGCCGGGCACGAGGGGAUUCAUAGGAAGUGUUUAUAUCACCGAACCCCGAUGAAAACAGCAAGUCGAAUGUUAACUGAGCAGAGAGAAGAGAGGGAGCAAGAGACCCAUGAAACAUUAAAGCAGGAAAAUGCUUCCGACUCGCUUCGUCUUGCCCUCCGGCGUCAAAUCCAGCUCCAUGGAUAAAGCCGUGGCUGGGAGCAGCUGUUUGCAGGUCAGUGGUCGGUGACCGCCGUUAAGGAAGUGGAGAAGCGGAGUGGUGAUGCACAGAACCUGACGCACAGGGUGGAGGACGUCCUCCACCUGCCAGAAAAACCAGUCCGUGGUGGUCUCAGUACGCCAGUGGCUUGGAGAGUGAUCUGUGAUAUGGGGGCUUGAUUCGGGUCAUGUGACGGUCUUUGGCCGUGACCCCAGUACCACAGCGAGGUGGGGCCAACCAGGGGGGGAGAACGUCCCAGUUUAUCUCAAUGCAGUGCACUGUGGGAUACUGCCAAACCACCAAGCUUGUGUCAGUUGCUGGCCCCUUCAGCUGAGCGGUGGCAGAAAGGUCACUGUACUCGCACAAAGACACAACGUGUCCAGUCUUCUCCCCGGCCGCCCGCCAGGGCUGCAGCUCAGAACACAAAGUAAACUUUUGACCCCUGACCUGGAGCCUGACACGUUAGCCAUUAGUCAUUAUGAAUUUUGUUAUGUUGUUAAUUAUUCUUUUUUUGUUUUUUUUGUUUUUUUUUGGAGAAUCUUGCUGAAGUUGCACAAUAAGACUUUCGAUGUUAAUUUAACUCCUAACAGAGUUUAUACGGGCCCUGUUGGGAUCAAGCUUUCUCAGUCAGAGUACAAUUUACUCCAUCAGAGUUGAUUUAAAACUUCAUAUUUUCUGGUCUCGCUCCACUCAACUGUAUAAAACAUAUGAGAUUAGUCAUCAAAGGGCACACCAUUACAAUACCACUGAAAAAUACCGUUGGUGCUCUGCACAUUACAUCACACAAUAUUCAGUGUAAAAUCAACAUUGAUAGGGUACUUUAAACUCUGAUACUGUACAGAAAGCCUUAAGUACCGUUACAAUUCCAGUUUAACUAAUCUCUUGCGUUUGUAUCCAUCAAAUUCAUUUUGAGCAGUUUGGGUUGGCCAACAGAACGACGAGAGGCUUCAAGAUACCAUAGAACAACAAAGCAGUUCCAGAGAUACGGAGGACA